GCCUAGGUGGGAUUAGCUAGUUGGUGAGGUAAGGGCUCACCAAGGCGACGAUCCCUAGCUGGUCUGAGAGGAUGAUCAGCCACACUGGAACUGAGACACGGUCCAGACUCCUACGGGAGGCAGCAGUGGGGAAUAUUGCACAAUGGGCGCAAGCCUGAUGCAGCCAUGCCGCGUGUGUGAAGAAGGCCUUCGGGUUGUAAAGCACUUUCAGUCGUGAGGAAGGUAGUGUAGUUAAUAGCUGCAUUAUUUGACGUUAGCGACAGAAGAAGCACCGGCUAACUCCGUGCCAGCAGCCGCGGUAAUACGGAGGGUGCGAGCGUUAAUCGGAAUUACUGGGCGUAAAGCGCAUGCAGGUGGUUUGUUAAGUCAGAUGUGAAAGCCCGGGGCUCAACCUCGGAAUAGCAUUUGAAACUGGCAGACUAGAGUACUGUAGAGGGGGGUAGAAUUUCAGGUGUAGCGGUGAAAUGCGUAGAGAUCUGAAGGAAUACCGGUGGCGAAGGCGGCCCCCUGGACAGAUACUGACACUCAGAUGCGAAAGCGUGGGGAGCAAACAGGAUUAGAUACCCUGGUAGUCCACGCCGUAAACGAUGUCUACUUGGAGGUUGUGGCCUUGAGCCGUGGCUUUCGGAGCUAACGCGUUAAGUAGACCGCCUGGGGAGUACGGUCGCAAGAUUAAAACUCAAAUGAAUUGACGGGGGCCCGCACAAGCGGUGGAGCAUGUGGUUUAAUUCGAUGCAACGCGAAGAACCUUACCUACUCUUGACAUCCAGAGAACUUUCCAGAGAUGGAUUGGUGCCUUCGGGAACUCUGAGACAGGU
Molecule: ribosomal RNA, 818 nt
Filed under: Vibrio harveyi
Lineage: Bacteria; Pseudomonadati; Pseudomonadota; Gammaproteobacteria; Vibrionales; Vibrionaceae
Description: bacterial SSU rRNA
Rfam family: Bacterial small subunit ribosomal RNA
Source: RNAcentral